CCUACGGGAGGCAGCAGUGGGGAAUAUUGCUCAAUGGGGGAAACCCUGAAGCAGCAACGCCGCGUGGGGGAUGAAGGUUUUAGGAAUGUAAACCCCUUUUGGGAGGGAAGAUAAUGACGGUAUCUCACGACUAAGAACCGGCUAACAACGAGCCAGCAGCCGCGGCAAUACGGAGGGUGCAAGCGUUACUCGGAAUCACUGGGCGUAAUGAGUGCGCAGGCGGGCUUGUAAGUCAGAUGUGAAAUCCGGGAGCUUAACUACAGACCUGCUUUGGAAACUAUAAGUCUAGAGUGUGGGAGAGGUAGGUGGAAUUCUUGGUGUAGGGGUAAAAUGCGUAGAUAUCAAGAGGAAUACUCAUGGCGAAGGCGACCUACUGGAACGUUACUGACGCUGAUGCACGAAAGCGUGGGGAGCAAACAGGAUUAGAUACCCUAGUAGUC
Molecule: ribosomal RNA, 440 nt
Filed under: uncultured bacterium
Lineage: Bacteria
Description: partial 16S ribosomal RNA
Rfam family: Bacterial small subunit ribosomal RNA
Source: RNAcentral